AUCACAAUCAAUACUGUAAUUACAAUUUUUAAAAUCGGUUGACCCAGAUAGCCCUCCCUGAACCUCUAAGCGGCACAUGCUAAGACGGACUUUCCAGCUUAAACGUGAAUUAAUUCGCGCAUCCCUUGAGUGGCCGAAACCACGCGUGGGCCCCGCCCCUCUGAGCGGGAACGGGGGCAAUUGCCAACCCUUCCGCGCGUGGCCGCCAGAGGGCGCGCCGAAGCCGCCAAACUCGCCGGGGAGCGGGGCGGUCCCCAGGGAACCUCCGCGAGCAAAACGCCGUCUUCUUUGCAAAAGGCGGUUGGCGGUCCCCACGGGGUGUUCACACUUUGUCUCCUCUAGACUCCUGGUAAUUUCGACAAUUUAAUGAAGUCCUUUGUGGGGAAGCAGUUGGAUUUCAAUGACUUUCUCCCUGGAGCUCCGCCGGAAUUUGGAAACCACACAAAAUACUCCCGAGGCCAUAGUCCACGUGGAGCCAGUCAAGUGAUGACAGUUAUGUGUUUUGUGGGGUCAUAUCUGUGACUCUACUUCAGUCCUUCAAUAAAUAUUUGAGUACCCAUUAUAAGCCGGAAGCUGCUAUAACAGAAUCUCAUAAACUGACCCAAGGAAGGAAGUAGCAGUUUUCAACAUUGGCUCCAUAUCAGAAUCCCCUGAGGAAAUCUAAAAACUAGUGAUUCCUGGGCCUACCCAGAGAGAUUCUGAUUUAAUCGGUCUGGGAUGCAGCGUCUGUGGAGGACUCUACUGUGAAGAGGACAUUUUAUUUAUUUAUUUAUUUAUUUAUUUAUGUUUUGAGACAGAGUCUCACUCUCU
Molecule: non-coding RNA, 810 nt
Organism: Microcebus murinus (gray mouse lemur)
Lineage: Eukaryota; Metazoa; Chordata; Mammalia; Primates; Cheirogaleidae
Source: RefSeq, a predicted model, not a curated record